This 570-nucleotide ribosomal RNA is filed under the name Candida tropicalis. RNAcentral describes it as "partial large subunit ribosomal RNA". It matches the Rfam family "Eukaryotic large subunit ribosomal RNA", at positions 62 to 648 of the family's 3401-position model. The record is from RNAcentral. Lineage: Eukaryota; Fungi; Ascomycota; Pichiomycetes; Serinales; Debaryomycetaceae.
AAACCAACAGGGAUUGCCUUAGUAGCGGCGAGUGAAGCGGCAAAAGCUCAAAUUUGAAAUCUGGCUCUUUCAGAGUCCGAGUUGUAAUUUGAAGAAGGUAUCUUUGGGUCUGGCUCUUGUCUAUGUUUCUUGGAACAGAACGUCACAGAGGGUGAGAAUCCCGUGCGAUGAGAUGAUCCAGGCCUAUGUAAAGUUCCUUCGAAGAGUCGAGUUGUUUGGGAAUGCAGCUCUAAGUGGGUGGUAAAUUCCAUCUAAAGCUAAAUAUUGGCGAGAGACCGAUAGCGAACAAGUACAGUGAUGGAAAGAUGAAAAGAACUUUGAAAAGAGAGUGAAAAAGUACGUGAAAUUGUUGAAAGGGAAGGGCUUGAGAUCAGACUUGGUAUUUUGUAUGUUACUUCUUCGGGGGUGGCCUCUACAGUUUAUCGGGCCAGCAUCAGUUUGGGCGGUAGGAGAAUUGCGUUGGAAUGUGGCACGGCUUCGGUUGUGUGUUAUAGCCUUCGCCGAUACUGCCAGCCUAGACUGAGGACUGCGGUUUAUACCUAGGAUGUUGGCAUAAUGAUCUUAAGUCGC